GUCAGUGACCCCCCUCAGGACUGGUGUACCCAUCGCCCCUCUCAUCUCUGCAGCUGCUGUGGGUGAUCCGAGGCCGAGUGAGUCUGUGAAUGGAGUGUCUGCUGCCGACCUGAGCGCUGUCCAGCUGGAGACGUCUUUUGGAAGGUAACAUCACCCUGCCAUCCAGACCACAACACUACACUAUGUGAUUUCAGAGAACUUUCUUCAAGCUCAAGAAAAUAUAUCAACUUUCAGUCUUAACAUUUGCUUGGAAAUCCAUUUUUCUGAGCAUUCUGAAGCAGUUUGAGACAUCAGGCUCAUUUGAAGAGAACACAAGCUACAUACCAGAACAAUACAAGCCACAGCAAUAUUUUUGAAGAAAGCAUCUUUCAGGUCUCCAGAUAUUUAUGCAUUGCUUGAAAAUGAGUAUGGAAGUUCUCCAAUAACUUUACCAGACUGAACACGAGCAGGUCACUUGCUGACUCACAGAAGUGGUGCCCCUGCUUCUCUCGUGUAGCAUUCUGGGUGAGCUGAAAAAGGGAGAACAAAGAGCUGCUUGUAUCCCAGGAUUUCCUCUGGUAGACUUGCUCCUGAGAGCAGCUCAGAUCUAAGGUAGAGAUCAGAAAGAGACACCAUCAUCAGUGCCUGAACCCCAUUAACUUCAAAUCACUUGAAUCCAGGAGCAAAGCUGAAGGCAAAGGCUGUCUGAGUCAUUCCCACCGUCCUCACAUCACAGGAGCAUCCACACACGGUACAAGGGGCUGGAAAGGUGCACAAGGGGCUUCAUGGAUACUCAUCUUUUUCUCCAAAAACAAACUCUGUUCAAUUGCUUUUUCAGAUUCUUUACCUGAGACCCAUGAUAGGGCUUAAUAUUUAAAUUUAUUUUAAUGUUUUGCAUUUUAAUUCCUUACUUCAAACUCAACUACUCAGCUGCUGCCAUUGGCCAUUGAAAAAACAAAGCACACAGUAAUACUCCAAAAACAAGGAAAAAUCCUAGUCAAUGCAUAUACUUUUUUGUUUAUCAUAUUUUGUAACUUUGAACUUUAGCAAUAGAAAUAUUUUGCACCGGAGCUUGCUACUUACUGCCAAGUUCUUCUUUGGUCCCCUGCUGUUGCAGUAAUGCCUUGCUAAAGACAUGCAUUUCUGAAGGACUUUUAUUUUUGUCUCCCUACAAUUCACCUGUAUGGGUAGACACCUGAAUAUCAGUUAACAGGUAGUCUUCAAUUUGCGCAUUUUUAAACAAUGUUUGGGAUUUAGUUGUUUCUUAUUGAUGCUUUUAUUUAUUUCUCUUUUUUUUUUUUUUUUCUGAAAGAAUAGGAAAAAAAGGAAAAAUCAUGAUGGAGAGUAGGGGAGAAUUAAAGAAGUUGAUAUAUAUAAUACAUGUAUGUAUUCUUAUUUUAUAUAUAUAUAUUAAGAAUAAUGAUCUGAAUAGGCACCAGAGACCAUUGAUACUUAUUGCACAGGUAUAGGUGACAGAGAUAGAGCUUGGAAAAAGAAUCUCAAAGAGGAGAUGCAAGCCAUAGAGAAAGAGCAGUGUUUAAGAGGAGAGAAAACAGGUAGAUUAAAUGAGAAAAGUGGAAGCAAAAACUACUGUGAUCUGAUAAAAAUACAAAGGAUUAAUAAUGAGCCAUUGUGAUUCUAAAUCAUGCAAAAUACACUGUUCAGAACAAAUCCAGCUAAUCAGGAAAAUUAGUUGCAUCUUUUAAUCAACUUGCUGAACAUUUGAUGAAUUAAAGGUCCAUAUUUCAAAAAGUUAUUGAAGAAAAGCUGGGAGAGGUAAGAAGGAUGUAUUAUUUUAUUUUUUUUUUUUAUUGAGUCAUCGUAUGGCACUUCACCCUUUGUGCACAUGACAACAUGUUUGGGACCAGUGGGGGACAAAGCUCACUGAUGCUAGAGAAGUCUGUUAUGUGACUCAAGUAGUGGAUAUUAAAUUAAUAGAAAAUUCAAACUGGUAGAAAAACAGAUUAAUCUACUAAAUUUGUAUUAAUUCACUAUGCUAUAGAUAAGGGAAAAACAGCAGGUUUUCCUCUAAGCAGGACUGAGCAAAAUUUAGUCUUUGUUUUAGUAAAUAUUUAUUCGUGCAGUUUCUAUUCCUUGCACCUGCAUUAUUGCUCUCAGUAAAGUCUUAAAGAUAUAUAAACUGGUAUUUUUCCUUUUUAGCUGUACUCUAAACUACUAUUUAUUCAGUUUUCUGCCUUCUACAGCUCUGUGCUUGACCAUGUAUGACAUUUUCAUAUCAAAAAUAUAAUGACAGAUAGAGGUUGAAUACACUCAAAAUGGCACAAACAAAACCAAGAUCUGUUUCUUUGUCCAACUGAUGCAGUAUUGAAGAGUAACACUUUAGAUUUAGCUGCUGUUCUGAUCUCCACACAGCUGCUACUAGUGAGCUAUGUAAAGCAGGAGCUAGAACAUUAAUAGUGCAUCUUAACUUUCAACAACUGUUUCUACACACCACUACUUUAAAGAUAAAACUUGGUGUUUUGUCUUUGCACACAUUGCUUUUUGGUUUUUGGGAUUUUUCUGAUUUAACUCCUUUUAGGGAGUUUUGUUAUUGCACUAUGAGCUGAGGCAAGGAGGAUUUCUACAGAAGCAUUUUUUUGUGAUUCAGUUGUUAUUUCUCAUGAUGAGGCUAUGAUUGUUCUUGGGGGGACCUGGCUUUCUAGAAAGGAAGAGAACGCUACAGUGGGAACAGGGAUCUAUGCCAAAGGCAAUAUUGCUCACUCAUACUGCAGCUGUAACUCUGAAAGCCCAAAUAAAUGUUCAUAUCUCUCCUUUUGUUGUUAAGCAUUACAGCAAAUCACUUGUUUUUCUUGUCCUGAGGCUCCAACUGCUUUCAUGGUUAUUUCAUUGCUCUGUUUCUACCUUGCUGCAUGCUUUCUGCAGAUGGGUACUUUUCUUGACUAUACUGUCAGUGCAUAAUGGCCCUCAGCACUUCCACUUUAGUGCCAUUACAUUUAAAUGGGAAAAUGCUUCAAGCUGCUGCAACUUGGCUACUGUAUUUUCUUAGGGCCAAAUGGUUUCCUGGUACACAGAAAUCAUGAAAAAGUGAAAAUGCACUCAGGUUCUGUGUGGAUUGCCAUGUCAAUUAAAAGGUACAUACAUAUGCAGUCACUCAAGAAAAAAAACACAUUUCUGUGUUCUGAGAAUUGUAUUUUGCAUGUGUAAUUACUGCAACCAUGAGUUAUCAAGGACAGUCUACUGGUUCAGCAUUGCCUUUUGAGCAACAUUCCAGGAUGCAUUCUGACUUGGAACACUAAUCCCAAACUUAGUUCUGUUUUGCUUCAGGAGGUGCUGGUCUGUUAUGAACUGCCUAAGAAAGAAACUCAGAAAAUCCAAUUUAUUAGAGCUUGCACCACGAGGACAUACUAGUAUGUCUUACUAGACAUUAAUAUUACAAAUAAUCUUAAAUCUCUAUGGAACUCUAGGUGGUUUUGCUUCUCAUGGAUCUCCAAUCCAUGUACAGUAUACUGGGCUUUCAUGUGGACCACUAACUCCCUGGUGUACAGUGGUCUCCUAGUCAGGAUCAAUAUGGUGACUUUCUUACAGGUGCAUACAUUUAUGCUACAACCUGUGUGUAAUUUUACUUAAUUUUAUGUACAUAUAUAUAUAUAUUUGAUAAUAUAUAUGUGUAAUGGAAACUGAGCUGCUGUGUGAUAGAUGACAUGAAUGUUGUCAUCUUGGGUUUUGAGAUAAUUUGUCAAUGAAGCAGGGGAGAAAGAAUCUUAUUUCCAAAUUCCCUAAUAGAAUGGAGGAGCUAAGUAUCAGAAUGUGAUACUGAAGAGUCAUCAAGAAGGGACUAUAAGCACCGUGAAUUGGUACGUGCCUCAUGGGCACAUACCUGUUAACACUGUUAACACAGAACAUAAACUGGUUUGAAAGUGGUGUUGCUCUUCAGGUUAGGAGUUCAACCACUCUCACUGUUUAUCACAGAAUACACAGGUCAUGUAGUCUUAUACUUUAAGAGAUGGGCUCAACAAAUGGCAAUGAAAUUAGCAUUGUAACCACAAGCAGUUUGCACAGUCCAUUUUGACAAUUCCAUUCAUCAUAAAAAAAUUUGACUAAAGUUGCACACUUUCCAUCAUAACAUCUCUAAAGUCGCUUUUAUCUGAUUAAAAUAGAGGCCUAAAAAUGGUGCAGUAAUUUUGAGUGUUUAAUAAAUUUCAGUAAUAUCUAGUUAUGCAGACAAUCUCCAAUUCUUCAUUUUAUAAAAAGUCUUCCUUUGGGAUAUCUUACAACUUGUGGUGGGUUACCUUGCCCAGCCACCAGAUACCUAGUAGUCUCUCCAGCAGUCCUCCACCAUCCUCAAGGAGCAGAAAAAACAACAAAAAGCUCACAGGAAAGGACAAAUACAGGAAGAUUAUGUACAUAAGCAAAACAGACUUGGGGAAAAUAAUUCAGUUUAUUGCUAAUGUAUAAUUGAAUAGAAUAGUGAGAAAUAAGAACAAAACAAAAGAAAACCCGCAACCUUCCCCCUACCAUGCUCUUCCCCCUAGAGUGAAUUUACUCCUACCUCUUUUAUGUCCUCCUUCCCAGGCAGAAGGGGGACAGAAAAUGGGGAUUGCACUCCAAUAACAACACUUUGCCAUUCCUUUCUCUUCAUGCUGCUCCCCUGCUCCAACAAGAGGUCCCACCCACAGGAUAUGUUUCUUCAGAAACUCCUCCAAUGUAGGGCAUUUAAACAGGCAUUUCUUCAAGAAUUGCUACACCACAGGUCUUUUCCACAGUGUUCUGUCCUUUAGGUACAGAGGUAACAGGUCCUGACAGAAAGUAUUGUCCAGUUCCCCUCCAUAGGCUUCAGGUCCUGUCAGGAACCUGCUCCAUGGCUGUCCAUGGGCUCCAGAUUCCUUCAGGGCACAUCAUCAGCCUGCCAGUGGAUAUCUGCUCCAUCAUCUGCAGGGGACAGCCAGCACCCAGCAUAGUUUUCUCCAUGGAAACUUCAGGAAAAUCUUUACUCCAGUGCCUGCAGCUCCCCCACGCUCUCCUUCUUCACCAGUCUUUGUGUCUGUAGGGCUGUUUCGCUCAUAUUCUUAUUCCUCUCUCCCAGUUUUGGUUCUUUUCACUCUUUUUUAAAUAGGAAGUUGCAGAGGAACUACCACUAUCACUGUUUUACUCAGCUGUGGCCAGUGAUGGGUCCAUCUUGAAACUGUUUGAAACUGGCCCUACAUGACUUCUAAGGAAAGUCACCCCUGUACCCCUCCUGCUUGCAAUACCUUGCCCCAUAAACACAGUACACAAUUCUUCAGAACAUUUCUAAUGAAAGCAGAUAUCUGUCUAUCUAUCCAUCCAUCCAUCCAUCCAUCCAUGUUCAGUCUUAUGUAGUUGCAUUUGUUUAUUUGAAACAUGUUCUCACAUAAAAAGACUUUAAUCCAAAAUGAAAAAAUAAAAUUCAGGGUAGGGACUCACUAAUUUACACUGUUACAUUAUUUAAAUAAUUAUGAACUUUUUUACCAAAUCUAGAAUAUCCCUUCUACAAAAGUGAAGAUGAGUAUAAAAUAAAAAUAGAACAAGUGUUAAUACCUUGGCCCCAAAAUGAGUAAUGAGAAUAGGAGAAUACUGUGAGACAAAUCUCUAUCAUCCAUAUGCAGAAAUAAGAAAACUGGAGAGAGUAAGGGAAGCAACAGACCUGGAGAACUAUUUAUUAGGUAAUAAAUAGUUAUAUCCAUCAGACUACAUCCUUGAUGCUAAAACUGAGCUUGUUUCCCUUCCUCUACUUUGCAAGAGCUUCUUAUGUAAUUGCUAGAUACAUGCUGAUCUUUGCAAAGGGUGGAAGUCAAUGGUUUGGGACUGAAAAGGAAUUAACAGUGGUGUCCUGCUUUCCUCCUGAUAGAGCUGUAUUUUCAUUGCUUUGAGUUUCCUCUCCUGUAUUUUUGACAUGAGGAGGAAGGACCUGGGUUAACACUAUCUGUCAAGCGGAGCAUGCAAUGACAGGAUUUUAUCAGGACUCAAGGACAUGUGGUUAAAGUUCAGAAAUGAUAAGUAGUAGAAUUAUUGCUUCUAUUACAAAGUCUAAAAGUCUUCUUGGUUGUGCUAAGUAACUCUGUGUUUGCAUGGCUGAUGUGACAGCCCUUGCAUGCUAAAAUUUGAGGUGUCUACAGUACACAAGACAACACUACAAACAAGACAACAAUAUGAAGCUUCAAAAUUUUAUCAAAGAAAGUUUUCUGACUUGUUGAUGAGAAAUGGCCUGCUACAGACCUGUUCUAUUCUAAUAGCAUUGGAGCAUUCUAUAUUCUAUUAUUAUUCUAUAAUUCUAUUUAUAUUCUAUGAAGACCUUUGAGUGGAUACCAAUUUUGGAUAUUAAGUCAUUAAACCCUGUGUCUGAACGUGAUUUUCCCUUUUUCCUUAAAAACACUUACAGAAAAUUAGCAUUAUUGAAUUACAAUGUCUUAAAUAAUAUUACUGUGAA
Parus major (Great Tit) is the source of this 6385-nucleotide long non-coding RNA. RefSeq lists it as uncharacterized. The transcript has 3 exons. The record is from RefSeq and is a predicted model, not a curated record. NCBI's taxonomy places the organism in Eukaryota, Metazoa, Chordata, Aves, Passeriformes, Paridae.